AGUCCACAAAGAGAGUCACCUCAAGUCGCACAGAAAACAGAAGAUGCCUCCACUAUUCCAGCACCAUUUCAACCUCAACAUUUCCACCUGAUCAAACCACCUCUGCUUAGUCUAAUACAGUUGGAACUAAAAGAUACCAAAAACUGUUGUGUCCAAUCAACGGGUGACCAUGGACACUUCAUCCACAGUCCAAACUCUGACAAAAAUGACACUGUGCGGAGGUUCUCAAUUAACAAAUCAGAGUGUGGAAGAGGGAGAGUGCAGGGUGGAGAAGUUGUGUAUGCUCCCAGAAAGCAACAACCGUGAAAUAUUUCCCAUCAGUCUUGUUUCAAUAUGUUAAUAUAUCAUACUGUAUCUAUCAGUACUGAAUAAAAA
Long non-coding RNA from Oncorhynchus tshawytscha (Chinook salmon), 375 nucleotides. NCBI's taxonomy places the organism in Eukaryota, Metazoa, Chordata, Actinopteri, Salmoniformes, Salmonidae. The record is from Ensembl.